Molecule: long non-coding RNA, 1948 nt
Filed under: Homo sapiens (human)
Lineage: Eukaryota; Metazoa; Chordata; Mammalia; Primates; Hominidae
Description: HSALNT0122306
Source: RNAcentral
UUUGUUUACAAAAGAACGAGGUUUAGAUAGAAGGGGGGGAAAGAGAGAACAAUUUAAUUCCUUCUCUCAAAGGAUUAGUGCCCUUGAUAAAAGUGAACAGAGAGGCUGGGGGAGGAAAUUCCUCUCCUAGGGUUGAUAGCAGCCCAGACACAGAGGCCAGUCUGGCUUCCUUCCCACCACACACCAGCCAUGGCCAAAGGCCCAGUCGGUAUCAGCCUCAGCCCUGGCUCUGGAGUGAGGAUGGUGCUGACCUGCGUGGCCUGACUGGCAAGCACGCAGAAAAAGGCACCAAUGAAGUAGAAGACCCUGGAGUAGGCAUGUCCAGAUGGCAUCACUUGGUUAGAGAUGUGCCACAGUAUCUUCACGUCCUCAAGAUUGUUGGCAUUUUUGCUCAGGCCCCUGUCACAGGCACGCAGCAGCAUGAUGUUUUUGGGAGUGGAAAUGAAGACAGUUUUAUAAGAAAGCAACUUUCUCUUGUGAGAACACAGCUGGCUCUUCAGCCAUGAGUUCUAGUUUGAAUCUGCCAGCCCUUCCCAUCUGUUUGACAUUCCACAGCUUUGUGGGUGGAGACCAGGCAUUUUUGAGUGGAGUGUCCCCCACCCCUAACCUGGAACUUGGUGCAACAUUGGAAGGUAAAGGUGGAGUUUCCAAGAGAACAGCAUUGAAGGAGGGCUGGGAAAGCACAAGACAGGAAGAGUCUGUGCCAAAAGACCCUGGAUAGGAAGAAACACAAGAAAAAAUUUAUCCAAAGUCAAGAUUGAGUGGGAGCCCAGAGGAACGUUGCAUUCAAAUGACAAAGAAUAUGAAGCCGAUAGGGAUAAAGUGAGUAACCCAAGGUCACAAGACAAGAGAGCUGGUCCAGGACAAGAACUUGGUGCUCAUGUCAGGUUCUCUCUGCCACAUCUUGAGAAUACGUGCAUCCUUUGUGAGUAAAUGCUUUACUGUGAUGAAGGAAAUAGAAGAGACAUAGUGAAAUGUUUUCAUGCUUUGUAUCUGCACUCUUGAUUAUCUCAUUAAUUCUCUGUGACAAGUUUUGCUAGCAAUGCAUUUUGUUGUCUUGGUGUAUAUUAUUAUAUACAUCAGAAAGCCAUUGAGAAGUUAUCAACAAAAUAUAAAAGUAUGCUGUGCCACUCCAGAGACAAAACCACAACUGACACACAGGUUUGUUUUCUUCUGACCCAUAAGUGCACACGCAUAUGAAAAUGAAGAUAAGGUUUAGAGCAAAUGUAUAGCCUUUUGUCUUGUUUUAAAAACAUCAUAUUGCUUAACUUGUGAGCAUUUUUGUAAACUGCAUUUCUAUCUCUUUUUGUGUAUUAAUCUAUCUAUCAAAAGUUAGGCUAUAAAUAAAGGCUAACAAGGCUAAACUGGAUAGUACACUAAUAUAAGAAAGUAAUAUAGCAGAGCCAAAUUUGACAUUACACGUUUCUUUGAUUGGAGUCAGAGAUUAUGUUCAGAGUGUUGUGAGAUUUCUAUAAAUUCAUUUAUUUACUUUGUUUCCUCAUUUUGAUAAUACAGAAAGAUAUUCUGGAUUAUAUAGAUAAAACAUCUAUAUUCAGUAUAGCCUUGCAAUUUCAAAGACCAGAUUUUUGCUUCUGUUUAAGAUUACUUUGUUGCCAGGUAGUAUUCACUUAAUUAGAAUCAACCAUUUAAGAAGAGAAGGGGUAGAAUAAUAGGUGCUCUUCCAAGUGCAGUUUAAAUGAGGGUGGGAUUAUAUUCAGAUUCCAAAAAACUCAAUUUUUAAGGAGCAAGCUCAAAAUUACAUUUGUUUGGCUGGUUUUUUAUUUUGUAAAUUAAUGAAGUUGGGUAGGAGGAUAUGAGCUAUAAGCAUACAUUGUUUUUAGGGGUUUGUUUGUUCUACUUUUUUAAAAUAAAUGAUUGCAGAGUAACUAUAUUUGUCCAUUCUCAUGCUGCUAAUAAAGACAUACCCAAGACUGGGUAAUUUAUAAAG